AGUCACUGACAUUAGAUACCCCCGUAGUCCAGGGUGUAAACGCUGCAGACUUGGUGUUGGGGCCCUUUGGGGCAUUCAGUGCCGGAGAGAAGUUGUUAAGUCUGCUACUUGGGGAGUACGUCCGCAAGGAUGAAACUUAAAGGAAUUGGCGGGGGAGCACCGCAACGGGAGGAGCGUGCGGUUUAAUUGGAUUCAACACCGUAAACUCACCAGGGAAGACUGUUACAUGAAGGCCGAGAUGAAGACUCUGCUAGAUUUUCAG
Molecule: ribosomal RNA, 262 nt
Filed under: uncultured archaeon
Lineage: Archaea
Description: partial 16S ribosomal RNA
Rfam family: Archaeal small subunit ribosomal RNA
Source: RNAcentral